Molecule: long non-coding RNA, 1322 nt
Organism: Populus nigra (black poplar)
Lineage: Eukaryota; Viridiplantae; Streptophyta; Magnoliopsida; Malpighiales; Salicaceae
Exons: 2
Source: RefSeq, a predicted model, not a curated record
UUGUUUUGCUAUCUAAUAUAAAAAAAUUAAUUUUUUUAUAUUAAUUUUAUUAUUUUAGUGUACUAAUAUUAAAAAUAAAGUUUAAAAAAAUUAAAAAUAAAUAAUAUUAAUUUUUCUUGUUUUUUUAUGGGUAUCUAUAAAAACAAACAAGAGAAAUCGUCUCUUUUUUUUAAAAAAAAAAGAGUCUCCCAGUUUUUUUUUUUUAUUAUUAAAAAAGAAGACAUCCACUGUUUUGUCUCUCAAGAAGACGUGCCCCAUGUUUUCCAAAGCCCUGCAUUUCCUAUAUAAAGAGCAAGGGAGUCCUGGGGAAACUCAAAAAAAGGAAGUAAGAGUAGAGUUUGAAGAAAUGAGAGAAGAGUCUAGCCAAACUAAAAGAGGAAACUAAUAUAAUCUCUCUGCAGAAUGCUGCAAAGCAACAUCGUCUAGAUCUAAAACAUAAGAUCAAGCCGAAGUUGGUUUGCUGCACUCUGCUGGGAGAUUAGAUUAGUUUCCUCUUUUAGUUUGGCAGCCUCUUCUCUUGUUUCCUCAAACUUUUCUCUUACUUCCUUUUGUCCCUCUCUUAUGCCUUUUUGUCCCUCGCUAAUCUCACUCAUCUCAGAUUUUAUGUGUCAAUAUAGGUCAAUAUUGAUCGAGGAAUGACCCUCGAAAUAUAUACCAGACUCUUUCUUGAGUUGCUCCAUCAUGUUACUUUGUUCACCAGAGAGUAUAAAAGCUUUAAAAUAGAAUGGUUAUUUUCCUGACACCAGCCUGUCAUCUUGGUUCUGAAGCUGAAGUUCCAUUUCCAUCUUCAACGAAUCACUAAUUUAUCAGGAAUUGUGAUGUUCUUUGAAGUCAAAAUAAUCAAAGAACAAUAAGAGGUGUUUGUUCUGAUGGAACGGAAAGUGAAAAUGCAAAAGCAGGGGAGAAAAGAAGAAGAUUUUUUUUCUGUACACGGAAUGGUCGAGAAGAAAGAGAAUGGGAUCUGGGAAAAGAACAUCGCAGAGGUACAGUUCCUGGGCCCUUUUCGCUGCGAAUAUAUUGUCAACCCCUCCCAGCUGUUCGCUCAACAAGUGAUAAAAAUAUGCUCUACUUGUUUGGAAAGCCUAAAAGCAAGCGAGGAAGCAGUCCAAGUAGGGCUGCCGAUAGCAACAGGCGACAAAUGAUCCACAAAGAAACCAAAAAUCCUACUGGUUUAACACGUGACUGUCACACAUCUUCAUCUUGUCAUAUUUUGGACCUUACAUUGUGUGAUCUUCCACCAGGUAGUUGAAUUAAGAAUAAACUUUUUUAUUUAUUUCCGACCAUUAUACAAAUGAAUAGUACAAUGAGUUGUUUCCUUGUUA